Molecule: small RNA, 795 nt
Filed under: Pongo abelii (Sumatran orangutan)
Lineage: Eukaryota; Metazoa; Chordata; Mammalia; Primates; Hominidae
Description: processed transcript
Source: RNAcentral
CUCCGGGGGCGGCGAUCCUCCCUCCGGAGCCCCCCGCAACCCUCCCGGAAGUGGGCAUUUGCAGGACCAGGGAUGCUGCACUGCUCUCCCAUGAGCCAGUCACCAAGUCUGUCUGCUGCAAGCCCUUUCUGAACCUCUGGCUGUCUGGAUGCUCCACUGUGCUCCUUGCCAAGAUGAAGUGCGUCUUGGUGGCCACUGAGGGUGCAGAGGUCCUCUUCUACUGGACAGAUGAGGAGUUUGAAGAGAGUCUUCGGCUGAAGUUCAGGCAGUCAGAGAAUGAGGAAGAGCUCCCUGCCCUGGAGGACCAGCUCAGCACGCUCCUAGCCCCGGUCAUCAUCUCCUCCAUGACGAUGCUGGAGAAGCUGUCGGACACCUACACCUGCUUCUCCACGGAAAACGGCAACUUCCUGUAUGUCCUUCACCUGGCUGCGGCCCCCAGACCUGGGGCAGCGUGUCCAGCUGUGGGAGCACUUCCAGAGCCUGCUGUGGACCUACAGCCGCCUGCGGGAGCAGGAGCAGUGCUUCGCCGUGGAGGCCCUGGAGCGACUGAUUCACCCCCAGCUCUGUGAGCUGUGCAUAGAGGCACUGGAGCGGCACGUCAUCCAAGCUGUCAACACCAGCCCCGAGCGGGGCGGCGAGGAGGCCCUGCAUGCCUUCCUGCUUGUGCACUCCAAGCUGCUGGCAUUCUACUCUAGCCACAGUGCCAGCUCCCUGCGCCCGGCCGACCUGCUCGCCCUCAUCCUCCUGGUUCAGGACCUCUACCCUAGCGAGAGCACAGCAGAGGACGACAUUCAG